AGUCCCCGCCCAUCGUAGCCAUGUUUACGGAGGCCUGGGCCUACAGGUUCUCCCUCUUUUCCACCGCGCCCACGUCCGCGGGCACUCCGACCGAGCCUCCAGGAGUAGUAGCUCAGAAGCACUUUUGUAACAUACUGUUAUCCCUCAAGAACGUGUACGCGCAGGGGCGUUUCCUUGUCCGUUAAUAACACAAGCUACAGGCCGAGCGUGGUGGCUCACACCUGU
Molecule: long non-coding RNA, 225 nt
Filed under: Homo sapiens (human)
Lineage: Eukaryota; Metazoa; Chordata; Mammalia; Primates; Hominidae
Description: non-protein coding lnc-SLC25A15-14:1
Source: RNAcentral